RNAcentral lists this microRNA (21 nucleotides) under Glycine max (soybean). Its description in RNAcentral is "gma-miR4412-5p". Lineage: Eukaryota; Viridiplantae; Streptophyta; Magnoliopsida; Fabales; Fabaceae. The record is from miRBase by way of RNAcentral.
UGUUGCGGGUAUCUUUGCCUC